Molecule: transfer RNA, 37 nt
Filed under: Dendrobathypathes boutillieri
Lineage: Eukaryota; Metazoa; Cnidaria; Anthozoa; Antipatharia; Schizopathidae
Also listed under: 25 other names
Description: partial tRNA-Trp
Source: RNAcentral
AAAGCUAAAAGUGUGGGUUCAAGUCCUGCCCCUCCUG